UGAAGAGAAGGCAGCGGCUUCUUACUGAUGAUGGUGGUGAGCGUCUGUUCGCAGACCUCGCUUAUCCAGACGCGGACGUGGGGUUGAACGGAGGCCCUUAUCGAUUUCAGAGAAGCAGCAUCGGCGGAAAGAGAGAAAUGGCGCGGCAGCGGAGUGUUAGCUGCGGAUUUCAUAUGAGGAGAAGAGAGAAUCAGCCCUUAAUUGAAUUGGUGUUGGGCCUUCUUUUUGGUGGAGUUUUGGGCUUCGUUGCUGGGCCUUUUCUUUUGUAGAGAGGGGUCCAAACCCUUAUUGGUCCCCAACCCUUUUUUCAUAGUUCAAGUCAUUUUUUGUUCUUUUUUUUAAAUUGUAAACACAAUUUUUUUUUAUAUUUAUUUAUUUAUUUAUUUAUUUAUUUAUUUUUUUUUGCAAGUAAAUUUCAAAUAUGAAUUUUUCUUGCAGUUGGCAAUAGAGAAAGCUUGGUGAUAGCGACCUUCAAGAUUGGCGUAGUCUUAUCAACCAAGUUCAUGGUGGAUUUUGCCCCAAACGAGAUGUUUUGAGUAUUUGCAAAGUUCGGAGUAUUAUGUACAAGAUUGGCGAAUUAAUCAACUUCAUGGAAGAUUUUGCCCCAAACGAGAUGCUUUGAGUAUUUGCAAAGUUCGGAGUCUAUUGUCAUCUUUCUUUCAAUCUUGACAUCUCCUGUCAGCCCGACUAAAGACCAUCCUCAGAGAAUUCAUCCAAAAGUCUGGCAGCAGCCCAUCUAAGACCUUAUUUGAGUGAUGUUUACUUUGCACUUCAGGUGGCUCAAUUGGCUUUUAAUCAGAUUUCGGGUGCGCUCGGAUCUGGGCCAUUGUGAGUCUAACCUUUGAAGAUUGCUGGUUACAUCUUCUCUUUGCGCGCAUUUGAGCAGGCUAGAUGACUCAAAGUUGUGACCGUGUAUUUCCACUCCACAAAUAGUUUCAUCUUUAGCUUGGAGAAAACUGAAGUUGGCGAUGCAUAGCUGACCUCAACGCCAGAUGACUCAAUUCUUUGACAGGUCUUGGGUGCGCUCGAACCUGGGAUUGUUCGAGUCUGGUUUGAGUGAGGUUGUUAUGUUUGGUAUCUCACGAAGUUGGGAGAAUUCUGCACAACGACUCGAGAAGAUUG
RNAcentral lists this long non-coding RNA (1122 nucleotides) under Salvia miltiorrhiza (redroot sage). RNAcentral describes it as "long non-coding RNA (SMIL_LNC005838)". The record is from RNAcentral. Lineage: Eukaryota; Viridiplantae; Streptophyta; Magnoliopsida; Lamiales; Lamiaceae.